GAGGAAUAUUGGUCAAUGGGCGAGAGCCUGAACCAGCCAAGUAGCGUGCAGGAAGACGGCCCUAUGGGUUGUAAACUGCUUUUAUGUGGGGAUAAAGUGAGCUACGUGUAGUUUAUUGCAGGUACCACAUGAAUAAGGACCGGCUAAUUCCGUGCCAGCAGCCGCGGUAAUACGGAAGAUCCAGGCGUUAUCCGGAUUUAUUGGGUUUAAAGGGAGCGUAGGCCGUGGAUUAAGCGUGUUGUGAAAUGUAGACGCUCAACGUCUGAAUUGCAGCGCGAACUGGUUCACUUGAGUAUGCACAACGUAGGCGGAAUUCGUCGUGUAGCGGUGAAAUGCUUAGAUAUGACGAAGAACUCCGAUUGCGAAGGCAGCUUACGGGAGCACAACUGACGCUGAAGCUCGAAGGUGCGGGUAUCAAACAGGAUUAGAUACCCUGGUAGUCCGCACAGUAAACGAUGGAUGCCCGUUGUUAGUUCACUUAAGAAUUAGCGACCAAGCGAAAGCAUUAAGCAUCCCACCUGGGGAGUACGCCGGCAACGGUG
Molecule: ribosomal RNA, 542 nt
Filed under: uncultured bacterium
Lineage: Bacteria
Description: bacterial SSU rRNA
Rfam family: Bacterial small subunit ribosomal RNA
Source: RNAcentral